This is a long non-coding RNA of Eutrema salsugineum, 1603 nucleotides long. RefSeq lists it as uncharacterized. Lineage: Eukaryota; Viridiplantae; Streptophyta; Magnoliopsida; Brassicales; Brassicaceae. The transcript has 8 exons. The record is from RefSeq and is a predicted model, not a curated record.
AAAGAUUUAGAGUAAUUCUAAAUUGGUGAAGAAAGGUGUCUCUUCCGAUGAAGGUUCAGACUUUGCUUAAUUACUCGACGUGGGCGUCGACAGAUUGUCUGAUGCUUCUUCGUCGCCUCCGAUCGGUUAUGCUAUCACUCCUCCUCCGUGGCAGGUCAUAAUGCAAGAUUAACGGAAAUAAGUUGGUUAACAGCCUACAUCUCUUACGGAAUCGAACAGGUUAAGUGGGUUAUUUAAAAAUCUCUUUCAACUUGGAGGCUGCCUCUUUCUCAUCUCUAUGUUGUUGUCAAGUCGGUUUCCGAAAAUGGGGUUCAAUCGACCAAACCUAUCAUUAAAAUUAAUGGUAUUGUAAUAUUGUUGAAGGUAAUAAACCUUACAUAUCUCUAUUAUUUUGCUUUUACUUAAAUCCAUUGGAAAUCGAAUUUGAACACCAAAUAUACAGUCAUGGCUCUAUUUUUAUGAUUAAAAAAGAAGAAACAGAUUCAUGAGUGAUAGUGUUGACAGAGAAGAGAAUUUGGCAGCAGUGGGUAUGAUUAAAAUGUGUUUUCUUAUCCUAUAUUCUUUUCAGUGCUCAGGUUUUUUGCUUCACAUUCUUCCUCUCUUGAAAUAGAGUUAGUUCAGAAGAACAAAUUUGGGAAUUCAUCAACACGAUUGACAAGGGUUUUAAGUUGAAUUAUCUUCCAAAAGAGGUCAUAUAUCAACUAUAUUCAUCCAAUAAGGCGUACAAUGAGAGCAUAUAACAACAGUUCUUCUGUUUUUCUUGUUUCUCCCGAUGAGAUAAGUGUUUCAAGAGAUAGAAAACAAAAAAAAUUCUUAGCAGGCGAAGACACAAGGAUUUAGUUGGAAAUGUGGUGGCUUAUUUUAAGAUAUAGAGUUGAGAAUAAAUAUAUAUCACCGGAAUCCCUGAAAUGGAAGCUAAAGUUAUUAUAUUUCAUCUCUGGAGUUCUCUGCAAUGUACUCUAUAUUCGUGUCGUUGGAAGGAGCAAGACCUUGGAGUAAAUCAGGGAUUCAGGCCUUAUGCUCUUUACAUAUUGCACUUGAGAUGGCGAAGAAUAUUCUUCAGCAUUGUUCUAAGUGUAGUAAACUUUAGUUGAAAUUCUUUAAGACGGCAUGAAGGAGCACUACUUGCAUAUGAAUGUCCUAGCGAGUAUUGAAAGCUAUACAUGAAGCUAUAUUAUAUACUCAUGGGUUAAUGUCCCAUGCUUUUCUGUUUCAGUCUCGCCCACUCAAAGCUAUCAUUAUCUUCAAUGAUCCGGAGUCAGAGCUGUCCUAUCAUUAGUCUUAUAUGAGAAGGAAGUCCUCCUUCUCGCUUGGUGCGAAUCACUUAAUCGAGAUCUUUAUGUCUCUUUCGUACUACCUACAAAACAAAACAGUUACAAAAAUGUCUUGAUCCUGAUCGUUGGGGGGGACUGGUCUCCUACUACAAUAAUCUAAUUGUUGGACGUCAAUAGGUUUUGCCAAUUACUCUGAUUAUCAACCUUUGUCAAAAAUAAGUAUCUUGGACUAGAAAUGUGUUGAAUCUGUAUAUGAGGUAUUCGUUGACAAUAUAUACAUUAUCAAUGUUGGUUUCAGGUUUAGAAUUUGCAAAAUGAAAAGUGAAAAC